RNAcentral lists this ribosomal RNA (460 nucleotides) under uncultured marine microorganism. RNAcentral's name for it is "bacterial SSU rRNA". It matches the Rfam family "Bacterial small subunit ribosomal RNA", at positions 355 to 830 of the family's 1533-position model. The record is from RNAcentral.
UGGGGAAUUUUCCGCAAUGGGGGAAAGCCUGACGGAGCAAUACCGCGUGAGGGAGGAAUGCCUUUGGGUUGUAAACCUCUUUUCUCAGGGAAGAAGAUCUGACGGUACCUGAGGAAUAAGUAUCGGCUAACUCCGUGCCAGCAGCCGCGGUAAUACGGAGGAUGCAAGCGUUAUCCGGAAUCAUUGGGCGUAAAGCGUCCGCAGGUGGUUUCCAAAGUCUGCUGUUAAAGACUGGAGCUCAACUCCGGAACGGCGGUGGAAACUUGGAAACUAGAGUUCGGUAGGGGUAGCAGGAAUUCCCAGUGUAGCGGUGAAAUGCGUAGAUAUUGGGAAGAACAUCGGUGGCGAAGGCGUGCUACUGGACCGUAACUGACACUCAUGGACGAAAGCUAGGGGAGCGAAAGGGAUUAGAUACCCCUGUAGUCCUAGCUGUAAACGAUGGAAACUAGGUGUGGCUUGA